Molecule: non-coding RNA, 3434 nt
Organism: Tetranychus urticae (two-spotted spider mite)
Lineage: Eukaryota; Metazoa; Arthropoda; Arachnida; Trombidiformes; Tetranychidae
Source: RefSeq, a predicted model, not a curated record
GAGCCAGAAAUUAAAUGAGCCUCGUUAAGAUCAAUCAACAGCUCAAUCAAAUGAAUGGAAUUAAUUUAAAUCGAUAAUAACUCUCCAGAAAAUUAUUAUACUAACCCUUAAAGCCUUAUCCUUUUGUUCAAGUUACAAUAACAAAUUAAUGGACACACCAAUGAGAUGUUUUAUUUUUGUUUUAGAUUAGAUAAUGUCUCAAAUUUUUCAGCUUAGAUAGCUUUUACACCAGAAUCUCAGUAAAUCCUCAUGAGCCUAACCUUCAAUCCUCUUAUACUUCUAAUUCAUCCUUUCACUUUGGUUCUCCCCCUACAAAUAAAAACAUCAUCAUCAUCACCAUCAUCAUAAUUUGUUGUAAAGAAACCUCUUGAUUACAAGACUUCAUUCAAGACCUUACAAAGUAUACAAAGGAAAAAGUUCAAUUGAAAGCAAGCCAAACUUACAAACUAUGAUUGGACAUCGAAGGAUGCCAAGAGGUGGAGAGCGAACGUACAAAGUGUAAUUCUAAUGGCUACUUAUUCCUAUCCAAACUCCUCCUAAAUAUCUUCUUGUUAUUAUCAUCUUCACAUCAUCCUUAACUCUCGUUAUUCACGCAGAAUCUCAGGAUCAAAUUCAUCAUCAUCAUCAUCCUCAUCAUUUCCUGCUGUAUUAAGUUGUCAGCCUUCAAAACUUGAUCAACAAUAAGCGUACAAAAUUGGCCUUUGGUUAUCCUUGUGUUGAUGCCCCAGACAAAUGGUUUUAUCAUCCUAAACCUUCCAUUUUUGUUAUAUUGUUGAGUUUUCGACUUGCUCAGCACACGUUCAGCACGCACACAACAACAAAAAACAGUUUUGCUUGUAGUUGAUUGAAUCAGGAUUAACAAGUCACGGAACCAUCUUGAUUGCAAACAAUCAACACCCAAAAGAUUCAACUUGAGAAAUGGAUUGAAGAUUGAAACAACAUUGAUAAAGAGUUAUUUGCUCCUCAUCAAUAAUCAACUAUCACAAUUGUAUCUUUGUAAGCAAAUAAUAUUAUCAACUGAAAACAACUGUUAAUACUCUCAGGCCACUCAAAGAGGCAACAGAAAUUAGUUAUGGAGGGAAAACAUUAAAUUAUGAUUAAAUGAUGAAUUGAAUAUUAUUGUAUCAUAAUGGUUAUCUAACAAUGCUAAGAUGAAUAAGGAAGAAAGCAAAAUCUACUUGAUCAUCAUCAUCAUCAUUUCAGUUAUAAGUGAUGAAAUCAUGUUGACACAUAAAUUGAAAAGCAAAUGAAGUGUUGUUGCUGUUGUUAUUGUUGAUGAUGAAGAUGGAGAUGAUGAUGAUGAUGAUAGUGAUGAUGAUCAAGUGUAAGUAAGUAAAUAAAUAAAAUACAUUGUCAUGGAUGAAAAUUGGUAUAAAAGGUAACAUAAAUAAAUAAAUAAAAAUGUAUCAACAUUGAAUAACAUUUCAACAUUUUUCUUCCUCUUCUUAUACUCUUCUGCUUUUUGAUGUGUUUUUGAAGGACGUGAAUUUUCAUACUGUUAUACACAUGGUGAACAUUAUCAUCAUCACCAUGGUCGUCAACGAUAUCAAUAUCAUCAUCUGGAUGGAUCACGAUUUUUUCUCGUAACAGCAAAAAAAGAGCCUCUUCAAAAUGUAUAUACAAAAAGCUCUUAUACAAUAUUUAUAGCAGCUAAAAAUUGAAGAGAGUUUUAACAUUUAAAUUGUAUUUCAAGUUGAUUUUGUCUUUGGUUAAACUUGUUGGUUGCAUGAUGUGAAAGUGAAAAUGGAUGAUCAAGAUGAUUGUGCAUGUUGAUGGUAAAGGAUAAAUUGAAAUGAUGAAAAAAAAGGGACAAAAAUUUGACAAAAGUUAUGAUGACAAAAGAUGGCGUAUCAGUUGUUGGUAUAAAAUGUAAUUUAAUACACUUUUACAGUUAACUGUCAUCAUAAAAUUGUGAUUGUUGUGAUGAUUAUGAUUAUUAUUAUUAUGGUUUAUAAUGAUAAUGAUAAAAGGAUCGUUUACAGAGAGCGCAAUAAGGUUUAAUCGUGAUAUGAAUAAACGAUUAACUUUGAUAAUGAUGAUGAUAGUAAGUGAAGGCUCGAUGGAUAGGCAUAAAGACGAUCCAAAAAUUGGUGUAAGAAAAAGUAUGGAUGGGUAAAGAAGGAGAGGGAUGAGGAGGAGGAAGAUAAAACUGCAGGGGGUUUGAUGAUAUUAUGUUGGCGAUUGAUGAGAGAUGUAUAAAGACAGGCAGAGAGAAAGAGAGAUUGAUGAAAACGAUAUAAGAAAUCAGCAAGGAGUCAAAAUGCCAAGUAACCAUAUGAAUAUGUUUCUAGUUGACACAUUUGGUGUUAUAAGUUGGACUUUAUUUUAGUCUUUUUGUUGCACUCUUGUUGCCUUCUUGAUGGUGUUACAUUGUACACAACAACGAUGGUUAAGUGAGGCAGGAUGAUGAUGAAAAAAGAGGCAAAAAAGGCACAAAUGAAAAGGUAAUUUGGUUUCAAGAACCCCUGAUGGGCUUAGUGUCAUCACUGAAAUACUGAAAUCAGAAUAGGCACAGAAGGCAAAGAUAGAUGGAGUGAGUGUUUGAAACAAAAAAAGACAAAAAUUGUUUGUUUGUUUAUUUUCCUGAUUAGGUAUUUUCAAAAGUCACUUACUGUUUCAUUUUUUAUUUGGUUUUGUUUUCAACUCUAUUUGACUAUUAACUUUAACCAUUAACUGUUAACAUCAUUUAACAUUGGCAAUUUACAAUUGUCUAUGUCAUUGUCAUUGUCAUCCUAUUAUAUGUGCAUCUUUUUGCGCUCAUCAUCUUUUCGGUAAAUUAAUCAAAGAUUGAGAGAAAGAAAAGGAAGAAUCUAAUUCUCGAUAUUUUUUUGCUUGCAUUCAAAUUAAAACUGAUGGUGGAUAAAUGAGCUUUUUGCUGUAAACUGGAGUCGUUUGGGUUCAAUGAAUAUUGUCAACAGCCAACAAGAAGAAGAUGAACAACGCAGAAUGAACAGUUGUUGGAAAGAAACAGAUUUCACUUUUUUUCAUUUCAGACCAAAAAAUCAUAUCAACUCUUGAUUAACGGUUGACUUUUAAAGCCUCAAUCAUCAGACACUUCAUCUUUGGAUUUAAAAAUUUGCUGCCGUUAAGAUGGCCUACCAAUUUUGCGCUACAAUUUAACAGCAGAUUACGUUGCGAUUAUGAUUUUGAUUAGUAUUAAACUUGACUGCCAUUUGGUUGAAUGCUUAAGGCUUACCGAGGUUAACGCGUGCAGUUGAUAUUAACACGUGUUGAUUGUCAAGUGAGAAAGGAUAAUCUACUUUUCACUUUUGGAUUAGCUUGAUCCAGGCAAAAAAAGACUAAUCUGAUUGCUUCUAUAUUUUGACACUAAUCAUUUUUGUUCUUGAUUUUUUUUUCAUCAUCAACAGAUUAACUUGUAAGUAAGGUUAAUCAGUAUUGUAUGUAUAUUAAAGUCAAAUUAAGAUCCAAUCUAA